GGGCCCGCACAAGCAGUGGAUUAUGUGGUUUAAUUCGAAGCAACGCGAAGAACCUUACCAGGGCUUGACAUGGAGACGACCGGCCUAGAGAUAGGUCUUUCCCUUCGGGGACGUCUCACACAGGUGGUGCAUGGUUGUCGUCAGCUCGUGUCGUGAGAUGUUGGGUUAAGUCCCGCAACGAGCGCAACCCCUAUUGUUAGUUGCUACGCAAGAGCACUCUAGCGAGACUGCCGUUGACAAAACGGAGGAAGGUGGGGACGACGUCAAAUCAUCAUGCCCCUUAUGUCCUGGGCUACACACGUAAUACAAUGGCGCAAAACAACGGGAUGCAAUACAGCGAUGUGGAGCAAAUCCUAAAAAGGCGUCUCAGUUCGGAUUGUAGGCUGCAACUCGCCUGCAUGAAGUCGGAAUUGCUAGUAAUCGCGGAUCAGCACGCCGCGGUGAAUACGUUCCCGGGCCUU
This 461-nucleotide ribosomal RNA is filed under the name uncultured bacterium. RNAcentral describes it as "bacterial SSU rRNA". It matches the Rfam family "Bacterial small subunit ribosomal RNA", at positions 917 to 1382 of the family's 1533-position model. The record is from RNAcentral.